UGGUUUCCAUCACGUCGAUUGGUGUCAGAGCAACGCAUGAUGUAUGAUAACUAGUCGUCGCUCUGAUACCAAUUGAUGCAAUGGAAACAU
Molecule: non-coding RNA, 90 nt
Organism: Arabidopsis suecica
Lineage: Eukaryota; Viridiplantae; Streptophyta; Magnoliopsida; Brassicales; Brassicaceae
Source: the annotation of a GenBank genome assembly